GGGUUUUGCUAUGAAGUUCAGACUGUCCUGGAACUCACUUUGUAGGCCAGGCUGGCCUUGAAGUUGCAGCAAUCCUUCUGCCUCAGCCUCCUGAGUGCUGGGAUUACAGGCAUGCACCAUCACACCCAGUUCAAUCCAUGUUUUUGAGAAGGAGGCAAGAGAGAAAUGACAGCUUCACAGAAGCAGAAAGAAUGCCAUGGGAUUACCGUGGGAAAAGAUAUUUGAAAUAUCAAGUCUCAGAACAGGAUAUUGGAGCCCGGAAAUCUUCAUUCAUCCCAAGGCGAAGUGAAUGACUGGCGUACUGUACUGGAAAGGAAAAAGGGACAAAGAAGUGGGAAAAUAUCUGGAAUUAAAAGAAGAAUACAGCACAAAAGAAAGAAAGUUAAAGAAAGAAGGCAAGAAAGAAAGAAAGAAAGAAAAAAAGAAAGAAAGAAAGAAACAAACAAACAAACAAAGAAACAAAGAGAGAAACCCAGAAUUAGAAUUUUGGUUUCCACAUGUGCUGUGCAACCUUACUCAGAUUCCUUCUUUUUCAUAUUUGUCCUUCACUAGAAAAAUUUAAAGGAGCAAAUCUAUCUCAUUUAGAAGUUUGUCGUGAUAUUAAAUGAAAUAAUAAAUUGCUAUGAACAGUACCUGGCAAAAUAAGCCACAUUAUAUCCAAAUUCCAACUACCAAAGUUCCUGUGGAAGUUUUUGAAUUACUAUUAAUGCUGGAGGAAAGCAUUCAAAUGAAAUGAAUGAAAAUAAAUAUGUGAUUUAUAAAUUCAAGUCACAAUCCAAAGGUGAAAUAAAGGAUGUAACUGAGCAUAUUUCAAUUUUUCUUUUCAUUCUGGAUAAUACAACAGCUGUGAGCUUUGAAUAAGACCUAUGGUUAGAAAUGUUCUAGAAGAUUCAGCAAGUGCUGAGAAAUGCAAGAGAUUUAUAGAAUAGAUUUCUCCUUGAGGCCUUGAAUUUUUAGGAAAUUUGAAAGAAUACCAACAUCAUGCCUGGUCUUGGUUGUCAAAUGCCUGGUGAAUAUUUUUAGGAAGCGUCAGAUGUCAUUAGUGGACUUGAGUUCCUACAAGGUAUGACAUAUAGUCAUUCCCUUGAGUUUCAAAAGAGCCAUCAUAUUUAAGGGGAAAUGGAGGGAAAAAGAGAGAAAGAAGCUAUACAGAAUAAAAU
RNAcentral lists this long non-coding RNA (1160 nucleotides) under Chinchilla lanigera (long-tailed chinchilla). Its description in RNAcentral is "lncRNA (ENSCLAG00000028801.1)". Lineage: Eukaryota; Metazoa; Chordata; Mammalia; Rodentia; Chinchillidae. The record is from RNAcentral.